GACGGUAACAGCCCGGUAGUUGAAAUGGCUUUCCCUCCAGAGUGGAUCCUGAGUACGGCGGAACACGUGAAAUUCCGUCGGAAUCCGGGAGGACCAUCUCCCAAGGCUAAAUACUCCCUAGUGACCGAUAGUGAACCAGUACCGUGAGGGAAAGGUGAAAAGCACCCCGGAAGGGGAGUGAAACAGUUCCUGAAACCGUGUGCCUACAAGUAGUUAGAGCCCGUUAAUGGGUGAUAGCGUGCCUUUUGUAGAAUGAACCGGCGAGUUACGAUUUGUUGCAAGGUUAAGCGGAAAAAGCGGAGCCGUAGCGAAAGCGAGUCUGAAUAGGGCGCAUAAGUAACAGGUCGUAGACCCGAAACCAGGUGAUCUACCCAUGUCCAGGAUGAAGGUAAGGUAAUACUUACUGGAGGUCCGAACCCACGCACGUUGAAAAGUGCGGGGAUGAGGUGUGGGUAGCGGAGAAAUUCCAAUCGAACUUGGAGAUAGCUGGUUCUCUCCGAAAUAGCUUUAGGGCUAGCCUCGAGGUAAAGAGUCAUGGAGGUAGAGCACUGUUUGGACUAGGGGCCCUUCUCGGGUUACCGAAUUCAGAUAAACUCCGAAUGCCAUGUACUUAUACUCGGGAGUCAGACUGCGAGUGAUAAGAUCCGUAGUCGAAAGGGAAACAGCCCAGACCACCAGUUAAGGUCCCCAAAUAUAUGUUAAGUGGAAAAGGAUGUGGGGUUGCUUAGACAACCAGGAUGUUGGCUUAGAAGCAGCCACCAUUGAAAGAGUGCGUAAUAGCUCACUGGUCGAGUGACCCCGCGCCGAAAAUGUACCGGGGCUAAACAUAUUACCGAAACUGUGGAUGAACCUCUUUAGAGGUUCGUGGUAGGAGAGCGUUCUAAGGGCGGUGAAGUCAGACCGGAAGGACUGGUGGAGCGCUUAGAAGUGAGAAUGCCGGUAUGAGUAGCGAAAGAAGGGUGAGAAUCCCUUCCACCGAAUAUCUAAGGUUUCCUGAGGAAGGCUCGUCCGCUCAGGGUUAGUCGGGACCUAAGCCGAGGCCGAUAGGCGUAGGCGAUGGACAACAGGUAGAGAUUCCUGUACCAGUGCUAAUUGUUUAACCGAUGGGGUGACACAGAAGGAUAGGGAAUCGCACGAAUGGAAAUGUGCGUCCAAGCAGUGAGUGUGAGAAGUAGGCAAAUCCGCUUCUCGCGAAG
RNAcentral lists this ribosomal RNA (1196 nucleotides) under Listeria monocytogenes. RNAcentral's name for it is "partial 23S ribosomal RNA". It matches the Rfam family "Bacterial large subunit ribosomal RNA", at positions 360 to 1556 of the family's 2925-position model. The record is from RNAcentral. Lineage: Bacteria; Bacillati; Bacillota; Bacilli; Caryophanales; Listeriaceae.